GGCGUGGUGGAAUUGGUAGACACGCUAGACUUAGGAUCUAGUGCCGCAAGGUGUGAGAGUUCGAGUCUCUCCGCC
RNAcentral lists this transfer RNA (75 nucleotides) under Cryomorphaceae bacterium. RNAcentral describes it as "tRNA-Leu". It matches the Rfam family "tRNA". From Rfam's summary of the family: Transfer RNA (tRNA) molecules are approximately 80 nucleotides in length. Their secondary structure includes four short double-helical elements and three loops (D, anti-codon, and T loops). The record is from RNAcentral. Lineage: Bacteria; Pseudomonadati; Bacteroidota; Flavobacteriia; Flavobacteriales; Cryomorphaceae.